UACAGAGGGUGCGAGCGUUGUCCGGAAUCACUGGGCGUAAAGGGCGCGUAGGCGGUCUGGUAAGCGUGUGGCGAAAGCCCGGGGCUCAACCCCGGGUCGGCCGUGGCAACUGUCGAGCUGGAGCACUGUAGAGGCAGGUGGAAUUCCGGGUGUAGCGGUGGAAUGCGUAGAGAUCCGGAAGAACACCGGUGGCGAAGGCGGCCUGCUGGGCAGUGGCUGACGCUGAGGCGCGACAGCGUGGGGAGCAAACAGG
RNAcentral lists this ribosomal RNA (253 nucleotides) under uncultured bacterium. RNAcentral describes it as "partial 16S ribosomal RNA". It matches the Rfam family "Bacterial small subunit ribosomal RNA", at positions 524 to 776 of the family's 1533-position model. The record is from RNAcentral.